RNAcentral lists this ribosomal RNA (407 nucleotides) under uncultured bacterium. Its description in RNAcentral is "partial 16S ribosomal RNA". It matches the Rfam family "Bacterial small subunit ribosomal RNA", at positions 30 to 526 of the family's 1533-position model. The record is from RNAcentral.
AUUGAACGCUGGCGGCAGGCCUAACACAUGCAAGUCGAGCGGAGCGGCGGACGGGUAAGUAAUGCCUAGGAAUCUGCCUGGUGGUGGGGGAAAAGGUCCGGACACGGGCGCUAAUACCGCAUACUAUCAGAUGAGCCUAGGUCGGAUUAGCUAGUUGGUGGGGGAAAGGCCUACCAAGGCGACGAUCCGUAACUGGUCUGAGAGGAUGAUCCGCCACACUGGAACUGAGACACGGUCCAGACUCCGACGGGAGGCAGCAGUGGGGAAUAUUGGACAAUGGGCGAAAGCCUGAUCCAGCCCUGCCGCUUGUGUGAAGAAGGUCUUCGGAUUUUAAAGCACGUUAAGUUGGGAGGCGUUACCAACAGAAUAAGCACCGGCUAACUUCGUGCCAGCAGCCGCGGUAAUAC